This 497-nucleotide ribosomal RNA is filed under the name uncultured bacterium. RNAcentral's name for it is "partial 16S ribosomal RNA". It matches the Rfam family "Bacterial small subunit ribosomal RNA", at positions 28 to 523 of the family's 1533-position model. The record is from RNAcentral.
GAUGAACGCUAGCGGCAGGCCUAAUACAUGCAAGUCGAACGGUAAAUAUUGUAGCAAUACGAUAUGAGAGUGACGUACGGGUGCGUAACACGUAUGCAACCUACCCAAAACUGGAGUAUAGCUCGGGGAAACCCGAAUUAACCCUUCAUAGUAUCACUGGAUGGCAUCAUUUGGUGAUUAAAACUCAGGUGGUUUUGGAUGGGCAUGCGUCUGAUUAGCUAGUUGGCGGGGUAAAGGCCCACCAAGGCGAUGAUCAGUAGGGGAACUGAGAGGUUGAUCCCCACACUGGCACUGAGAUACGGGCCAGACUCCUACGGGAGGCAGCAGUAGGGAAUAUUGGUCAAUGGAUGCAAGUCUGAACCAGCCAUGCCGCGUGCAGGAAGAAGGCCUUCUGGGUUGUAAACUGCUUUUGCCAGAGGAUAAAAUGGGCGUGCGCGCCUAAUUGAAGGUACCUGGUGAAUAAGCCACGGCUAACUACGUGCCAGCAGCCGCGGUAA